GCCCCUGUGGCCUAGUGGUUAAGGUUUACGAGUGCUCGAUAACAGAGGAUCGCGGGUUCGACGCCCGCCGGGCGCC
Non-coding RNA from Rhodotorula sp. CCFEE 5036, 76 nucleotides. The record is from the annotation of a GenBank genome assembly. NCBI's taxonomy places the organism in Eukaryota, Fungi, Basidiomycota, Microbotryomycetes, Sporidiobolales, Sporidiobolaceae.